UCAAGUGACUAAGUGCAUGUGGUGGAUGCCUUGGCAAUGAUAGGCGAUGAAGGACGUGAUAGCCUGCGAAAAGCUUCGGGGAGCUGGCAAAUGAGCUUUGAUCCGGAGAUAUCCGAAUGGGGAAACCUACCGAAAGGUAUCGUGAUCUGAAUCCAUAGGGUCACGAGGCGAACCGGGCGAACUGAAACAUCUCAGUAGCUCGAGGAAAAGACAUCAACCGAGAUUGCGAAAGUAGUGGCGAGCGAAAUCGCAGGAGCCUGUACGAUGUAGCAUCUGGCUUAGCAAAACGGAAUGGAAAGUCCGGCCAUAGCGGGUGAUAGCCCCGUAUGUGAAAAGUUGGGUGUGGAACUGGGCGUACGACAAGUAGGGCGGGACACGUGUAAUCCUGUCUGAAGAUGGGGGGACCAUCCUCCAAGGCUAAAUACUCAUCAUUGACCGAUAGUGAACAAGUACCGUGAGGGAAAGGCGAAAAGAACCCCGGGAGGGGAGUGAAACAGAUCCUGAAACCGCAUGCAUACAAAAAGUCGGAGCCUUGCUCAGCGAUGGGGGGGUGACGGCGUACCUUUUGUAUAAUGGGUCAGCGACUUACAUUCAGUGGCAAGGUUAACCGAAUAGGGAAGCCGAAGAGAAAUCGAGUCCGAACAGGGCGAACAGUCGCUGGGUGUAGACCCGAAACCAGGUGAUCUAUCCAUGGCCAGGAUGAAGGUGCGGUAACACGCACUGGAGGUCCGAACCGACUAGUGUUGCAAAACUAGCGGAUGAGCUGUGGAUAGGGGUGAAAGGCUAAACAAACCUGGAGAUAGCUGGUUCUCUCCGAAAACUAUUUAGGUAGUGCCUCAAGUAUUACCGACGGGGGUAGAGCACUGUUAUGGCUAGGGGGUCAUGGCGACUUACCAAACCAUUGCAAACUCCGAAUACCGUUGAGUACAGCUUGGGAGACAGUGCACCGGGUGCUAACGUCCGGACACAAGAGGGAAACAACCCAGACCGCCAGCUAAGGUCCCUAAAAUUGGCUAAGUGGGAAACGAAGUGGGAAGGCUAAAACAGUCAGGAUGUUGGCUUAGAAGCAGCCAUCAUUUAAAGAAAGCGUAAUAGCUCACUGAUCGAGUCGUCCUGCGCGGAAGAUGUAACGGGGCUAAGCCAGUUACCGAAGCUGCGGAUGCACAGUAAUGUGCGUGGUAGGAGAGCGUUCCGUAAGCCUGUGAAGGUAUCUCGUGAGGGGUGCUGGAGGUAUCGGAAGUGCGAAUGCUGACAUGAGUAGCGUUAAAGGGGGUGAAAAGCCUCCUCGCCGAAAGCGCAAGGUUUCCUACGCAACGUUCAUCGGCGUAGGGUGAGUCGGCCCCUAAGGCGAGGCAGAGAUGCGUAGCUGAUGGGAAACAGGUCAAUAUUCCUGUACCGAUCCAUAGUGCGAUGUGGGGACGGAGAAGGUUAGCUCAGCCGGGUGUUGGAAGUCCCGGUUCAAGCCUGUAGUCGUGCCUGGUAGGCAAAUCCGCCGGGUUUAGAUGAGGGGUGAUAACGAGUGUGCUUGCACGCGAAGUGAGUGAUACCCUGCUUCCAGGAAAAGCCACUAAGCUUCAGCUAUGGACGACCGUACCGCAAACCGACACUGGUGCGCGAGAUGAGUAUUCUAAGGCGCUUGAGAGAACUCUGGAGAAGGAACUCGGCAAAUUGACACCGUAACUUCGGAAGAAGGUGUGCCCUGAGUAGGUGGACCGGUACAUGGGGAGCCCAAAGGGGUCGCAGAGAAUCGGUGGCUGCGACUGUUUAUUAAAAACACAGCACUCUGCAAAGAUGAAAGUCGACGUAUAGGGUGUGACGCCUGCCCGGUGCUGGAAGAUUAAAUGAUGGGGUGAGAGCUCUUGAUUGAAGUCCCAGUAAACGGCGGCCGUAACUAUAACGGUCCUAAGGUAGCGAAAUUCCUUGUCGGGUAAGUUCCGACCUGCACGAAUGGCGUAACGAUGGCCACGCUGUCUCCUCCAGAGACUCAGCGAAGUUGAAAUGUUUGUGAUGAUGCAAUCUCCCCGCGGAAAGACGGAAAGACCCCAUGAACCUUUACUGUAGCUUUACAUUGGACUUUGAACAGAUCUGUGUAGGAUAGGUGGGAGGCUUUGAAGUGAGGAUGCUAGUUCUCAUGGAGCCGACGUUGAAAUACCACCCUGGUGUGUUUGAGGUUCUAACCUUGUCCCGUGAUCCGGGAUGGGGACAGUGUAUGGUGGGCAGUUUGACUGGGGCGGUCUCCUCCCAAAGCGUAACGGAGGAGUUCGAAGGUACGCUAGGCACGCUCGGGUAUCGUGACUGGGAAAC
This 2304-nucleotide ribosomal RNA is filed under the name freshwater metagenome. RNAcentral's name for it is "bacterial LSU rRNA". It matches the Rfam family "Bacterial large subunit ribosomal RNA", at positions 3 to 2354 of the family's 2925-position model. The record is from RNAcentral.